CCUACGGGAGGCAGCAGUGGGGAAUAUUGCACAAUGGGGGAAACCCUGAUGCAGCGACGCCGCGUGGGCGAAGAAGUAUUUCGGUAUGUAAAGCCCUAUCAGCAGGGCAGAAGAAAUGACGGUACCUGAGUAAGAAGCACCGGCUAAAUACGUGCCAGCAGCCGCUGUCAUACGUGUGGUGCAAGCGUUAUCCGGAUUUACUGGGUGUAAAGGGAGCGCAGGCGGCACGGCAAGCCUGAUGUGAAAGCCCGCGGCCCAACCGCGGGACUGCAUUGGGAACUACCGGGCUGGAGUGCCGGAGAGGUAGGCGGAAUUCGUAGUGUAGCGGUGAAAUGCGUAGAUAUUAGGAGGAACCCCAGUGGCGAAGGCAGCCUACUGGACGGUGACUGACGCUGAGGCUCGAAGGCGUGGGGAGCAAACAGGAGUAGAUACCCUAGUAGUC
RNAcentral lists this ribosomal RNA (442 nucleotides) under uncultured bacterium. RNAcentral's name for it is "partial 16S ribosomal RNA". It matches the Rfam family "Bacterial small subunit ribosomal RNA", at positions 338 to 795 of the family's 1533-position model. The record is from RNAcentral.